This 758-nucleotide ribosomal RNA is filed under the name uncultured bacterium. RNAcentral describes it as "bacterial SSU rRNA". It matches the Rfam family "Bacterial small subunit ribosomal RNA", at positions 575 to 1331 of the family's 1533-position model. The record is from RNAcentral.
GUGGUUUGUCGCGUUGUUCGUGAAAUCUCACGGCUUAACUGUGAGCGUGCGGGCGAUACGGGCAGACUUGAGUACUGCAGGGGAGACUGGAAUUCCUGGUGUAGCGGUGGAAUGCGCAGAUAUCAGGAGGAACACCGGUGGCGAAGGCGGGUCUCUGGGCAGUAACUGACGCUGAGGAGCGAAAGCGUGGGGAGCGAACAGGAUUAGAUACCCUGGUAGUCCACGCCGUAAACGGUGGGUACUAGGUGUGGGUUUCCUUCCUUGGGAUCCGUGCCGUAGCUAACGCAUUAAGUACCCCGCCUGGGGAGUACGGCCGCAAGGCUAAAACUCAAAGAAAUUGACGGGGGCCCGCACAAGCGGCGGAGCAUGUGGAUUAAUUCGAUGCAACGCGAAGAACCUUACCUGGGUUUGACAUGCACAGGACGCCGGCAGAGAUGUCGGUUCCCUUGUGGCCUGUGUGCAGGUGGUGCAUGGCUGUCGUCAGCUCGUGUCGUGAGAUGUUGGGUUAAGUCCCGCAACGAGCGCAACCCUUGUCUCAUGUUGCCAGCGGGUAAUGCCGGGGACUCGUGAGAGACUGCCGGGGUCAACUCGGAGGAAGGUGGGGAUGACGUCAAGUCAUCAUGCCCCUUAUGUCCAGGGCUUCACACAUGCUACAAUGGCCGGUACAAAGGGCUGCGAUGCCGCGAGGUUAAGCGAAUCCUUUUAAAGCCGGUCUCAGUUCGGAUCGGGGUCUGCAACUCGACCCCGUGAAGUCGGAG